AUUGAACGCUGGCGGCAGGCCUAACACAUGCAAGUCGAACGGUAACAGGAAGAAGCUUGCUUCUUUGCUGACGAGUGGCGGACGGGUGAGUAAUGUCUGGGAAACUGCCUGAUGGAGGGGGAUAACUACUGGAAACGGUAGCUAAUACCGCAUAACGUCGCAAGACCAAAGAGGGGGACCUUCGGGCCUCUUGCCAUCGGAUGUGCCCAGAUGGGAUUAGCUAGUAGGUGGGGUAACGGCUCACCUAGGCGACGAUCCCUAGCUGGUCUGAGAGGGUGACCAGCCACACUGGAACUGAGACACGGUCCAGACUCCUACGGGAGGCAGCAGUGGGGAAUAUUGCACAAUGGGCGCAAGCCUGAUGCAGCCAUGCCGCGUGUAUGAAGAAGGCCUUCGGGUUGUAAAGUACUUUCAGCGGGGAGGAAGGGAGUAAAGUUAAUACCUUGGCUCAUUGACGUUACCCGCAGAAGAAGCACCGGCUAACUCCGUG
Molecule: ribosomal RNA, 490 nt
Filed under: uncultured bacterium
Lineage: Bacteria
Description: partial 16S ribosomal RNA
Rfam family: Bacterial small subunit ribosomal RNA
Source: RNAcentral